RNAcentral lists this ribosomal RNA (405 nucleotides) under uncultured prokaryote. Its description in RNAcentral is "bacterial SSU rRNA". It matches the Rfam family "Bacterial small subunit ribosomal RNA", at positions 355 to 776 of the family's 1533-position model. The record is from RNAcentral.
UGGGGAAUAUUGGGCAAUGGGGGAAACCCUGACCCAGCAACGCCGCGUGAGGGAAGAAGGUCUUCGGAUCGUAAACCUCUGUCCUCAAUGAAGAGCAGCAGACGGUAAUUGAGGAGGAAGCCCCGGCUAACUACGUGCCAGCAGCCGCGGUAAUACGUAGGGGGCUAGCGUUAUCCGGAAUUACUGGGCGUAAAGGGUGCGUAGGCGGUCUUUCAAGCCAGAAGUGAAAGGCUACGGCUCAACCGUAGUAAGCUUUUGGAACUGUAAGACUUGAGUGCAGGAGAGGAGAGUGGAAUUCCUAGUGUAGCGGUGAAAUGCGUAGAUAUUAGGAGGAACACCAAUAGCGAAGGCGGCUCUCUGGACUGUAACUGACGCUGAGGCACGAAAGCGUGGGGAGCAAACAGG